This 742-nucleotide unclassified non-coding RNA is filed under the name Sulfurospirillum multivorans. Its description in RNAcentral is "partial contains 16S ribosomal RNA, 16S-23S ribosomal RNA intergenic spacer, and 23S ribosomal RNA". The stretch from base 613 to 742 matches the Rfam family "Bacterial large subunit ribosomal RNA", at positions 1 to 130 of the family's 2925-position model. Lineage: Bacteria; Pseudomonadati; Campylobacterota; Epsilonproteobacteria; Campylobacterales; Sulfurospirillaceae. The record is from RNAcentral.
AAGUCGUAACAAGGUAACCGUAGGAGAACCUGCGGUUGGAUCACCUCCUUUCUAGAGUAUAGGGGCACUAUCUCACAAUGGUGCUCCGGCGAGCAUAGCUAGGGAAGCUUAUUUAGUUUUGAGAGAUUGAAUGAAAAAGGGGCUUAUAGCUCAGGUGGUUAGAGCGUACCCCUGAUAAGGGUAAGGUCAGAGGUUCGAGUCCUCUUAAGCCCACCAUGGGGAAUUAGCUCAGCUGGGAGAGCGCCUGCUUUGCACGCAGGAGGUCAGCGGUUCGAUCCCGCUAUUCUCCACCAUUUUUUAGAGAAAUGGUGAAAGAUUGCCAAGAGACAUUGUUAGUGAGAAUGAAGACACAAUGUCUAAUAUAAGAACAAUUUAGGUUGUUUUUAUAUUAGACUUUUUAGUCUAAGUUUAUGUUCUACAAUUUAGAAUACGACGCUUUGUGUUGUGCUGUAGGUUUGGUUCUUUAAGAUAGCUUUGCUAUCUGGUGAAAGAACAUAAAGAUGUUAUUUAAUUUAUUAUUGUCAAAGUCAACAAAACGCAAAAAAAACAAUUUACAACUUGUUAGAUGUUUUACAUUUAAUAAGGGAGUGAAAUGUGCAUUAGAAUACAAAUAGGUAAGCUAUUAAGAGCGAAUGGUGGAUGCCUAGGCUGUAAGAGGCGAUGAAGGACGUACUAGACUGCGAUAAGUUACGGGGAGCUGUCAAGAAGCUUUGAUCCGUAAAUUUCCGAAUGGGGCAACCCA